Molecule: ribosomal RNA, 1475 nt
Filed under: uncultured bacterium
Lineage: Bacteria
Description: bacterial SSU rRNA
Rfam family: Bacterial small subunit ribosomal RNA
Source: RNAcentral
CGGGGAUCUCUGAGCGAGUUUGAUCCUGGCUCGGAUGAACGCUGGCGGUGAGCUUACCACUUGCAGGUCGAACGGGUUCUUCGGAACCAGUGGCGGACGGGUGAGUAACACGUGAGCAUCUACCUUCCGGACGGGGACAACAGCUGGAAACGGCUGCUAAUCCCCGAUGAGCCGAGAGGUAAAAGGCGUUAGCGCCGGAAGAGGAGCUCGCGGCCGAUUAGCUAGUUGGUAGGGUAAGGGCCUACCAAGGCGACGAUCGGUAGCCGGUCUGAGAGGAUGGUCGGCCACACUGGCACUGAGACACGGGCCAGACUCCUACGGGAGGCAGCAGUGGGGAAUCUUCCGCAAUGGGCGCAAGCCUGACGGAGCUACACCGCGUGAGGGAAGACGGCCUUUGGGCUGUAAACCUCUUUUCUCAGGGAAGAAGUUCUGACGGUACCUGAGGAAUCAGCCUCGGCUAACUCCGUGCCAGCAGCCGCGGUAAUACGGAGGAGGCAAGCGUUAUCCGGAAUUAUUGGGCGUAAAGCGUCCGCAGGGGGUUUUCCAAGUCUGCUGUCAAAGCCUGGGGCUCAACCCCAGCGGGGCAGUGGAAACUGGAAGACUAGAGUACGGCAGGGGUAGAGGGAAUUCCCAGUGUAGCGGUGAAAUGCGUAGAGAUUGGGAAGAACACCGGUGGCGAAAGCGCUCUACUGGGCCGUUACUGACCCUGAGGGACGAAAGCUAGGGGAGCGAAAGGGAUUAGAUACCCCUGUAGUCCUAGCUGUAAACGAUGGAUACUAGGCGUGGUUCGACUCGACCCGAGCCGUGCCGAAGCUAACGCGUUAAGUAUCCCGCCUGGGGAGUACGCGCGCAAGCGUGAAACUCAAAGGAAUUGACGGGGGCCCGCACAAGCGGUGGAGGAUGUGGUUUAAUUCGAUGCAACGCGAAGAACCUUACCAGGGCUUGACAUGCCGCGAACCCUCGGGAAACCGAGGGGUGCCUUCGGGAGCGCGGACACAGGUGGUGCAUGGCUGUCGUCAGCUCGUGUCGUGAGAUGUUGGGUUAAGUCCCGCAACGAGCGCAACCCUCGUCCUUAGUUGCCAGCAUUCAGUUGGGCACUCUAGGGAGACUGCCGGUGACAAACGGGAGGAAGGUGGGGAUGACGUCAAGUCAGCAUGCCCCUGAUGCCCUGGGCCACACACGUCCUACAAUGGUCGGGACAAAGGGCAGCGAGCUCGCGAGAGCCAGCGAAUCCCUCAAACCCGGCCUCAGUUCAGAUUGCAGGCUGCAACUCGCCUGCAUGAAGGCGGAAUCGCUAGUAAUCGCCGAUCAGAAUGCGGCGGUGAAUUCGUUCCCGGGCCUUGUACACACCGCCCGUCACACCAUGGAAGCUGGCCAUGCCCGAAGUCGUUACCCUAACCCUGCGGGGAGGGGGACGCCGAAGGCAGGGCUAGUGACUGGGGUGAAGUCGUAACAAGGUAGCCGUACGGCUACCU